RNAcentral lists this ribosomal RNA (253 nucleotides) under uncultured bacterium. RNAcentral's name for it is "partial 16S ribosomal RNA". It matches the Rfam family "Bacterial small subunit ribosomal RNA", at positions 524 to 776 of the family's 1533-position model. The record is from RNAcentral.
UACGUAGGGGGCAAGCGUUGUCCGGAUUUAUUGGGCGUAAAGAGCGUGUAGGCGGCUAGAUAGGUCUGUUGUGAAAACUCGAGGCUCAACCUCGAGACGUCGAUGGAAACCAUCUGGCUAGAGUCCGGAAGAGGAGAGUGGAAUUCCUGGUGUAGCGGUGAAAUGCGCAGAUAUCAGGAAGAACACCCGUGGCGAAGGCGGCUCUCUGGUACGUGACUGACGCUGAGACGCGAAAGCGUGGGGAGCAAACAGG